CUGUGUUUCCAGGGAAGGAAAUCUCAGCGCUCCGCAAGCUUCACAUCAUUGCGGGCAGCGAGGAGCAGGAAGCGCUCGUUAGGAAGGAGUGAGGAAACGGAGCCGCUGCCUCGACCCGAGCGGACUUUUUAGGACCGGAAAGUGGGAGUAGGAAGGCGUAAAAGUGCUUUGAGCUCUUGGAGAAGGUUGCAAAGGGCAAAGGGUGAGGGGAGCAUGAACAAAUACCACUUGAGGAGGGGGGAACCGGCAUGUGCGUGCAUGGAGAGGACUUCAUGGUGGAGCUGCUAAUUAAAUAAGAAAGGCUCGUCUCCACGCUUGUUAGGUUAACUCGACAGGGAUAUUGCAAAAGCAAAUUCCUCCCAGCAAGUGUAAUUAGGAGGCCGGAAUUCCUCCGGUUCCUCUGUCCUCCUUGUGGAUCCUGCUAAAGCCAUCAGGUGAGGACACAGGGUGAGGGGGGGACACACACGCAAGUCCUGUGCAAUAACAAACCCCCUCCCGGCAUGGCAAGGAUUUCACAUCAAGGCUUGACAUUUUUCUCUCUGAUUAUUCCAGGGUGGAAAAUACAUGUUCAACAAAACAGGCUCCCUCUCGGGACUGGGUCGCUGAGCUGCUCCCCCCAGGCCAACAUGCUUAUGUGGAAGGUGGAAAGAGGUGCCUGGGCAGGACACAGCGGAUCCCAGCCCACAGGAUUUGGGAGGUGUCUGCAAACAGCAUGGAGGUCCUGGAUGAUGCUGCUGACCUGCCAGCGAUCUGCUUCAUCUUCCUCACCAAGGGGAGGAUUGACCAUGGAUGGUUUGCUGAGGCUUUUACCCUGUGUCCCCAUCCAGGGUGGGGACGGACACCUCCGGCUGGCUGCUCUGGGAUGGGGAUCACCCUGACAGCAGUCUCCCGCAGGCAAAUACCCUACUGGGCAUAAUGACAACUGUCCUCAUUAUGGAAAUUCCUCCAUGAAAUGGGUUGAAAACUGCAAAGAGAAGGAAUUGGAGGAGAGAGGACUUGCUGCUUCAUGAUGGUCUGUGGGGGGAACGGAUGGAGCACAGGUUCAUGUGCCCGAUGAGCUUCUGCAAAGGUGACGCUUGCUCCUGCGUGUCAAGUUGGAGGUGGCUGGUGCCGGUGUUGGAGCAGACGGUCCAAGGUACAAACAGCAGUGGUGGGUGACAGUGUCACCUUCUGUGAGCAGUGAAGGGUAAAUCUUCCAGGAGUGUGGAGCCGAGAGGUGAGUUUGUGCAGUGCCCCUCGGUCUCAGCUGUGCCUCAUCAUAUUUGUUGAAUUAGGGAUGCUGAAUGUAGGUGAUGAAACCAAAGUCCAUUUGCAAGUCAUUAACAAAGAGCAAGGACAAUGAAUUUUGGUGCUGCCCUCUAGCAGAUUUGUUGCCUGUUCAGAAAGCUGCUCUGCGGAGGGACCCUGUGGCACAGGUGUCCUGUGUCUCAAAGGCAGCAAAAGCUCCUGCCUGCUCUGCUCCUCCAGCAUGGGGCUGUCCCAAGGCCGAGGCUACAUGAAAUUUUGGGAGCAGAGCUGGCCUGGGACACAGCAUGGCCUGUGCCAGCGAAGGCAGGGGGCACUGUGGGUGCAGGAACCGGCGGGGCAGGGGUGAGCAAGGAGGGCAGGCAGCGUGGAAGCCCAGCUUGCUGCCCCUGGGAUGUACAUCCUCCUCCUGCCUUCCCAGCUCCUGCGGGACCAGCUGGCAGCAGCGCUGUUCCCUUCGCCAGGGUGCUCUUGGGCUGUUGGCUGGGAUAAAGCAAAGAGGUUUUCACAUCCACUUGCUUGCUGGAAAUCUGCAGCCUGGUUUGGGGAUCAGGCUCACUCAUUCAUUUUUCUUUAUGAUGCUGAGUACUUCAGCUCCUGCAGUGCUGUCCCGUCAGCUCCUUUUCAAACAAGCCAAGUUUUUUAUAUCCCAAACAGCAGCCACUGCUAUCAGGGACCAGUGAGCUCUGUUAGGAUGCUCACUUGGAUGCUCUGGUUCUAUUACUCCUUUUUUAGCUAUAACACCUAAGUAGUUCACCUCCCCCAGUGCUGGUACUUGCUUGAUCCUUCAUUCCUGAGCUCUCGCCGUGUCCCUUCUAACUGUUGCUGUGGAUUUGCUCUUUCAGCACUACCUCCUCUAAAUCCUCCUCAGCUCUCUCUGAAUGCCUCCUGUUUGUACAACUGCUACCAACGGUUACAAUUAAAGUGUAUUGGCGUAAACAUCAACACUUUGAGCAGCAGGAAAGUGUGGUCAUGGCUGCCUGGGAUCCCAUGGAGAACAGAGCAGGGAGCAGAGGUGUGUUCCUGGUGGCUGGCCACAAGUUUGUCCUGAUCAUUAUGGGCAUGCAAGGAACAGAGGUAAGUGGUAGAGGGACAAGUGCCCUGCCAUGGAAGGGUGAGAAGAACUGUGAUUCUCUUGCACAGCCCCUUGGGGAGCCAGAUAAACCAGGUGCCUGCUAGAAAACAACCCUUGGAGGAAAAUCCACCCAGGCAAGUUGCUCAUGAGCAGCUGGCGCUGGGUCAGGACACCAGCCUGGUUUUAGGAGCAGCAUCCCCUGGGGCUGCCCUGAGCUCCUUGUUGCCAUUUCCUUCACUGGUCCCUUUUUUUCUUUGCAUGGCAGGUUUAUCGGAGAGGUGCUGAGCAUCGCCUUCCCCACUCUGAAGUGAUGCCACCGUGAUUCUCUGUGUGAAAAUUUCAUCCCGGCAGGAUAUUUGGUAAGCCAGCACCUCUGCUCUUCAGUCCAAGCUCUGGACCACUCCAGUUUGGACUAGCUUAAGAGUCAGAGGGCAAGAAGUGCCCAGGGCCUUUUUGUUUGUGCACCUGGCUGAGAGCAAAGACUCAUCAUAAUGAUGAGCUCUGGGACAGGUCCUUGCACAGCCACUCAGUCGCCUCGUACAGCCAGGAACUGGGAAGGAUGAGGAGAGAGGCCCGUUGUGUCCCCUGGGGGAUGGAUGCCAUGGGGGUGGGUCAUCAGAGUCACAGUGACACGAAGGUAGAGGCAGAGCCUGUGCGCCUAGGGCAACAUUUCCUCCAAGCGAGGAGGGACCCAAUGCGAUGUGCAGUGUGGCUCCUGCUUUAGCGCUGAGCUCGCCACUUCUCUGCUGCCCACCCCUGUGCUCUUGGAGGUGUUAGGAUGGGGUGUCCUCUCUUGCUAGUGUCCCACGCCAUGCUGAACACAAAGGCAUGGGAUGCUCCCACGCUGCUCUUUGCUCAGGUUGGCUUUACCAGCCGGCAGCUGUUGGGUUGCCGCAGCUGCAUCCCUGCUGGCCAAGUGAUGCUCUGCAUCCCACGGCUCUGCCACGUGGGCCACCACCACGCACAGCCCUCGUGUCCCCAUGGGAGAGGGUGCUCCCCACCACCCGUGGAGCCCUGGGGCAGCAGCGGCUGCGCAGAGCCAUGUAGGUGGCACCUAUGGGGGACCUUGCUGAGCCAAAACCAACAAAGCCAGGUCUGGCUGGUCACCAUGGGCGAGGCCCACGCUGACCCACAGAGCUUCCCCAGCCAUGAUGGGCAUGGCUGCUGCCCUCAGGAAGGAGGUGGCAGCUCAAAGGCACAACAUGGUGCCCGGCACAAGAUGGCGGGAGGGCUGGGUGGGGAGGACAGGGGUCUCGGCCAGCCCGCCAUGGCUCCAGCAGGGUGGGCCACCUCGGUUGUGUCUCCAGACCCUGGGGUGGCCCCGGAGGAGCUCCUAGGGCCCAGGGGACGUUUCCUGUUUGCUGCCCGUGCUGAAGCAUCGGCCCUUCAACCGCCGCCAGCGCUCCGCUUCCGGCAGGGGCUCCCGCCCGGAGCCCCCCUGCACUAUCAGCUCGCCAGAUGCCUUUUUCAGGAUACUGUGGUAAAACUGUGCUGGGCAGGCGCUGUCAUUUGGGGUUUUCUCUCGUGUCAGCCUCGAAGACAAAUUAGGUGAGGAGGAGCGAGAGAGGGGGGAAAGAAAAAAAAAAUAAUUAAACCAUUAAAAAAAAAAAGAAGAAGAAAGAUGCUCGUUGCCAUUCUCAGCCGGGCCUGGCCCGUGCGCCGGCGCGGCAAUGGGUCCCCCAAGCGGCGGGGCCGGCGGUGGGACAGGGCCAGGCAGGGUAGGCUGGGGUGGCCGCCAUGGUUGUGUGUCCUCCGGGGAGGUGUCGCCCUCUAGUGGUGGAGGAGGCGGUGAGGUGUCCUGGUGGCACCAUGGGACCACCAAGGCCAUGGGGACCUUAUCCGUUACCCCACCCCUGGCACUACCGUGUGUCCCUGAGAACCUCAUCUCCGUCUGUCCAACCCUCCAGGGCUGGUGACUCCAGCACUGCCCUGGGCAGCCUGUUCCAAUGCCCCACAGCCCUUUGGGGAAGAAAUUGUUCCCCACAUCCAACCUCAACCUCCCCUGGCGCAACUUGAGGCCGUUUCCUCUGCUCCUGGCACUUGUUCCUGGGGAGCAGAGCCCGACCCCCCUGGCUCCAAGCUCCUUUCAGGCAGUUCAGAGAUCAGAAGGUCUCCCCUCAGCUCCUGUUCUCCAGCUGAACCCCCCAGGUCCCUCAGCCGCUCCCCAUAAGAUGAUGUUGAGCAACCACCAGACUGGGUGGACUGGGAGCCAGGCAGCACCACUGGGUAUGGAGGGAGGGAAACAGUCAAAGAGCACGUGGGGAAACCCGUCUGUCUGUCUGCAGAGCUGUGCAGGGGGUGGCUGCCAGGUCUUGGCGUCCCCAAGGAGCUGUGCCCCACUAUGGGGGAUGGCCCAUGGACAGAUGAAGUGGGACAGACCAUGGAUGCUGUUUAUCCUGGGAGCUCACCAAAAACCCCUGUGCUGGUAUGGGGUGUGCAUAGGGGUGUGCACAUGAGUGUGCAGGCAGGUGUGCGCUCCCCGGGGCUGUCACUCAGCAGGUGACAUUAAAGCACGGCUUUGCAUGAGGCCCUUGGCGUGUGCUCCGGCUGUCCCUGCCUCCCUGGGAACUGGGGGGUCAGGCUGGCUGGAUGCUUCCUCGGGGAGCACAGAGACGUGGCAGCCUCUAGAGCCAACUGCAGACCUGUAGGAUUUCCUCUGAGUUAAGCCCGGUGAGUUUAUUUGGUUGGAUGCUGAAAUUUGGUUGGAUGCGGAGCAGAGGGGAGGUAUCAGCUAUCAGCGUGGGGAGGGGAGAUGGGGUCGAUGAUGGCACAGAAAUAGUGCUGGGCUAUCCAGUCCCACGGGGUGGAUGGGGGGCUGGCUGGGGUCAGAGGGUGUG
Columba livia (rock pigeon) is the source of this 5157-nucleotide long non-coding RNA. RefSeq lists it as uncharacterized. The transcript has 4 exons. NCBI's taxonomy places the organism in Eukaryota, Metazoa, Chordata, Aves, Columbiformes, Columbidae. The record is from RefSeq and is a predicted model, not a curated record.